CCUACGGGAGGCAGCAGUAGGGAAUUUUCCACAAUGGGCGAAAGCCUGAUGGAGCAACGCCGCGUGGGUGAAGAAGGUCUUCGGAUCGUAAAACCCUGUUGUCAGAGAAGAAAGUGUGUGAGAGUAACUGUCAGCGUUUCGACGGUAUAUAACCACAAAGUCACGGCGAACUACCUGCCAGCAGCAGCGGUAAUACGUAGGUGGCAAGCGUUAUCCGGAUUUAUUGGGCGUAAAGGGAACGCAGGCGGUCUUUUAAGUCUGAUGUGAAAGCCUUCGGCUUAACCGGGGUAGUGCAUUGGAAACUGGGGGACUUGAGUGCAGAAGAGGAGAGUGGAACUCCAUGGGUAGCGGUGAAAUGCGUAGAUAUAUGGAAGAACACCAGUGGCGAAAGCGGCUCUCUGGUCUGUAACUGACGCUGAGGUUCGAAAGCGUGGGGAGCAAACAGGAUUAGAUACCCCAGUAGUC
This 465-nucleotide ribosomal RNA is filed under the name uncultured bacterium. RNAcentral's name for it is "partial 16S ribosomal RNA". It matches the Rfam family "Bacterial small subunit ribosomal RNA", at positions 338 to 795 of the family's 1533-position model. The record is from RNAcentral.